UGGGGAAUAUUGCACAAUGGGGGAAACCCUGAUGCAGCGACGCCGCGUGAGCGAAGAAGGUUUUCGAAUCGUAAAGCUCUGUCCUAUGAGAAGAUAAUGACGGUAUCAUAGGAGGAAGCCCCGGCUAAAUACGUGCCAGCAGCCGCGGUAAUACGUAUGGGGCGAGCGUUGUCCGGAAUUAUUGGGCGUAAAGGGUACGUAGGCGGUCUAUUAAGUCAGGUGUGAAAGCGUGAGGCUUAACCUCAUUAAGCACUUGAAACUGAUAGACUUGAGUGAAGGAGAGGAAAGUGGAAUUCCUAGUGUAGCGGUGAAAUGCGUAGAUAUUAGGAGGAAUACCGGUGGCGAAGGCGACUUUCUGGACUUUUACUGACGCUGAGGCGCGAAAGCGUGGGGAGCAAACAGG
This 403-nucleotide ribosomal RNA is filed under the name Verrucomicrobiota bacterium. RNAcentral's name for it is "Verrucomicrobia bacterium partial 16S ribosomal RNA". It matches the Rfam family "Bacterial small subunit ribosomal RNA", at positions 355 to 776 of the family's 1533-position model. Lineage: Bacteria; Pseudomonadati; Verrucomicrobiota. The record is from RNAcentral.